GCGGGUGUAGCUCAGUGGCUAGAGCGUCACGUUGCCAACGUGAAUGUCGUGGGUUCGAAUCCCAUCACCCGCU
This 73-nucleotide transfer RNA is filed under the name bacterium. RNAcentral describes it as "tRNA-Gly". It matches the Rfam family "tRNA". From Rfam's summary of the family: Transfer RNA (tRNA) molecules are approximately 80 nucleotides in length. Their secondary structure includes four short double-helical elements and three loops (D, anti-codon, and T loops). RNAcentral also lists the same sequence under 6 other names. The record is from RNAcentral.